This 335-nucleotide ribosomal RNA is filed under the name uncultured Gammaproteobacteria bacterium. RNAcentral's name for it is "bacterial SSU rRNA". It matches the Rfam family "Bacterial small subunit ribosomal RNA", at positions 727 to 1061 of the family's 1533-position model. Lineage: Bacteria; Pseudomonadati; Pseudomonadota; Gammaproteobacteria. The record is from RNAcentral.
CCCUGGACAAAGACUGACGCUCAGAUGCGAAAGCGUGGGUAGCAAACGGGAUUAGAUACCCCGGUAGUCCACGCUGUAAACGAUGUCUACUUGGAGGUUGUUGCCUUGAGCAGUGACUUUCGAAGCUAACGCGUUAAGUAGACCNNNUGGGGAGUACGGUCGCAAGAUUAAAACUCAAAUGAAUUGACGGGGGCCCGCACAAGCGGUGGAGCAUGUGGUUUAAUUCGAUGCAACGCGAAGAACCUUACCUACUCUUGACAUCCAGAGAAGCUUGAAGAGAUUCGAGUGUGCCUUCGGGAACUCUGAGACAGGUGCUGCAUGGCUGUCGUCAGCUC